Molecule: ribosomal RNA, 492 nt
Filed under: uncultured bacterium
Lineage: Bacteria
Description: partial 16S ribosomal RNA
Rfam family: Bacterial small subunit ribosomal RNA
Source: RNAcentral
AGUGAACGCUGGCGGUAGGCCUAACACAUGCAAGUCGAACGGCAGCACAGUAAGAGCUUGCGCUUACGGGUGGCGAGUGGCGGACGGGUGAGGAAUACAUCGGAAUCUACUUUUUCGUGGGGGGUAACGUAGGGAAACUUACGCUAAUACCGCAUACGACCUACGGGUGAAAGCAGGGGAUCUUCGGACCUUGCGCGAGUGAAUGAGCCGAUGUCGGAUUAGCUAGUUGGCGGGGUAAAGGCCCACCAAGGCGACGAUCCGUAGCUGGUCUGAGAGGAUGAUCAGCCACACUGGAACUGAGACACGGUCCAGACUCCUACGGGAGGCAGCAGUGGGGAAUAUUGGACAAUGGGCGCAAGCCUGAUCCAGCCAUACCGCGUGGGUGAAGAAGGACUUCGGGUUGGAAAGCCCUUUUGUUGGUAAAGAAAAGCAGCAGGUUAAUCCGCCGCUGUUCUGACGGUACCCAAAGAAUAAGCACCGGCUAACUUCGUG